ACGGGCGUAGCUCAGCUGGUAGAGUAGUGGUCUCCAAAACCAUUGGUCGUGGGUUCGAAUCCUACCGCCCGUGCAA
This 76-nucleotide transfer RNA is filed under the name Fluviicola taffensis DSM 16823. Its description in RNAcentral is "tRNA-Trp". It matches the Rfam family "tRNA". From Rfam's summary of the family: Transfer RNA (tRNA) molecules are approximately 80 nucleotides in length. Their secondary structure includes four short double-helical elements and three loops (D, anti-codon, and T loops). RNAcentral also lists the same sequence under 5 other names. Lineage: Bacteria; Pseudomonadati; Bacteroidota; Flavobacteriia; Flavobacteriales; Crocinitomicaceae. The record is from RNAcentral.